AGGAUUGAAGGGGAUUAAGGGGGA
This 24-nucleotide microRNA is filed under the name Zea mays. Its description in RNAcentral is "microRNA miR-3051b". The record is from RNAcentral. Lineage: Eukaryota; Viridiplantae; Streptophyta; Magnoliopsida; Poales; Poaceae.